This 1095-nucleotide long non-coding RNA is filed under the name Anas platyrhynchos platyrhynchos (common mallard). Its description in RNAcentral is "lncRNA (ENSAPLG00000025732.1)". The record is from RNAcentral. Lineage: Eukaryota; Metazoa; Chordata; Aves; Anseriformes; Anatidae.
AUGCACGCAGCAUGGGUAACAAACAGGAGGAGCUGGAAGCCAUUGUGCAGCAGGCAGGCUACGACUUGGUUGCCAUCACGGAGAUGUGGUGGGACCACUCUCGUGACUGGAGUGCUGCAAUGCCUGGCUAUAAGCUCUUCAGAAGGGACAGGCAGCACAGCAGGGGUGGUGGUGUGGCUCUCUAUAUCAGAGAAAGUUUUGAUGUCGUGGAACUUGAGGCUGGGAAUGAUAAGCCUAACCCUAUGGGUUAGGAUCAGCAGGAAGGCCAACAAGGCAAACAACCCAGUGGGGGUCUGUUAUAGACUGCUGAACCAGGAUGAAGAGAUGGAUGAGGAGUUCUACAGGCAGCGGACAGAAGUUGCAAAAUCAUCAGCGCUUGCUCUCGUGGGGGACUUCAACUUCCCAGACAUAUCCUGGAAGCACAACACAGCCCAGAGAAAGCAGUCUAGGAGGUUUCUGGAGAGCGUGGAAGAUAGCUUCCUGAUGCAGCUGGUUAGUGAGCCUACCAGGGGUGGUGCCCCGCUAGACCUUCUCUUCACAAACAGAGAAGGACUGGUGGGAGAUGUGGUGGUUGGGAGCUGUCUUGGGCAGAGUGACCACGAAAUGGUGGACUUCUCUAUUAUUGGAGAAGCCAGGAGGGGGAUCCGUAAAACCACAGUCUUGGACUUCCGUAGGGCUGAUUUUGAGCUGCUCAGGACACUGGUUGGUAGAGUCCCUUGGGAGGCGGUUCUGAAGGGCAGAGGAGUACAGGAAGGCUGGGCGCUCUUUGAGAGGGAAAUCUUAAUGGCACAGGAGCGGUCUGUCUCCACGUGCCCAGAGACGAGCCAGCAUGGAAGAAGACUGGCCUGGCUCAGCAGAGAAUUGUGUCUUGAGCUCAGGAGAAAAAAGAGGGUUUAUGAUCUUUGGAAAAGAGGGCGGGCCACUUGGGAGGACUAUGAGGAUGUUGUGAGGCUGUGCAGGAAAAAAAUUAGAAAGGCCAAAGCUCAUCUGGAGCUCAAUCUGGCUACUGCUGUUAAAGAUGACAAAAAAAUUUUUACAAAUACAUCAGUGCAAAAUGGAAGACUAAGGAGAAUCUCCAGCCUUUACUGGAUGUGA